CUCAUUUACAUCCCCUAGGACAAGAAAAAAGACUGAUGCCAGCUCUGUUUUCCAGAAACUGGAAGACUGUGAGGUUACCCAGAUUUCCUACUUCUCUCCACUUCCCCUUUGAAGAAGAGGUAUUUUGUAUCUCGGCAGUGACUCUUUCAGAGGACUGAUGCUCCAUCAAGUCUGCUUUUAGCUUAGUUGGCCCUGAGAUCAUCAUUGAGAGGCAGAGGGAAACGGAAGCAAAGUCCUCCCGACUAGCUAGCUGUGCAACCUGGGGGCGGAGGUUGGUGGGGGGGUCAUGCAACUUUCCUGUGCCAGUUCCUCCUCUGUUCAACGAAAUGCUCUGUCCCCUCAAACUAUGUUAUGUUGGGUGGGUCACAUUAGACUUUCCUCAUCUGUGAAAAGGGGAAAAUACUGGUAUCCACUUCAUUGUUGUUUUUGAGGACUGGAUGAGUCAAACUACACAAAGCAGUUAGAGAAAUACCUGGCACAUAGCUAUGGGGGACUUGCCCAAGACACAAACCUGGAACCGGUGACCAAGCUGAGUGAGAAGUACCUUCCCUAAAUCACACACACAUGCCUACUCUAACUUCUCAGAAGAUUGCACAGUUUCUCUUGGGAUUGCACCUGCCUCCACAAACAAAACUGAAUCCUCAGGUCACAGGAAAUGCAGAGGGGGGGUUGAGAAGCCAUGGAGAGAGGCUGGGGGAGAGGGUAGGAUAUGCGGUGCGUAUCAUAGACUGUGAACAAGUGUCAGGUAUCAACUGUUUAUCUGACACAUGUAUACAGUCAGAAUUGAAUUUUAUGUACAAAUGUGUAUUACUUUAAA
RNAcentral lists this long non-coding RNA (817 nucleotides) under Homo sapiens (human). RNAcentral's name for it is "HSALNT0010836". Lineage: Eukaryota; Metazoa; Chordata; Mammalia; Primates; Hominidae. The record is from RNAcentral.